Molecule: ribosomal RNA, 378 nt
Filed under: Bacillus safensis
Lineage: Bacteria; Bacillati; Bacillota; Bacilli; Caryophanales; Bacillaceae
Description: bacterial SSU rRNA
Rfam family: Bacterial small subunit ribosomal RNA
Source: RNAcentral
CCUGCCUGUAAGACUGGGAUAACUCCGGGAAACCGGAGCUAAUACCGGAUAGUUCCUUGAACCGCAUGGUUCAAGGAUGAAAGACGGUUUCGGCUGUCACUUACAGAUGGACCCGCGGCGCAUUAGCUAGUUGGUGGGGUAAUGGCUCACCAAGGCGACGAUGCGUAGCCGACCUGAGAGGGUGAUCGGCCACACUGGGACUGAGACACGGCCCAGACUCCUACGGGAGGCAGCAGUAGGGAAUCUUCCGCAAUGGACGAAAGUCUGACGGAGCAACGCCGCGUGAGUGAUGAAGGUUUUCGGAUCGUAAAGCUCUGUUGUUAGGGAAGAACAAGUGCGAGAGUAACUGCUCGCACCUUGACGGUACCUAACCAGAAA